Molecule: long non-coding RNA, 1130 nt
Filed under: Anas platyrhynchos platyrhynchos (common mallard)
Lineage: Eukaryota; Metazoa; Chordata; Aves; Anseriformes; Anatidae
Description: lncRNA (ENSAPLG00000027902.1)
Source: RNAcentral
CACCUGCUUCUGGGCCAGAGACAUCAUGUGCUUUUCAUUACCAUCAUUAGUCAUUGUCAGUACAUCUUGUUACAAGAGCAAAGCAUAAAAGAUCAAGACUGCUGGCCCCCCUGUAAUAAUGUAGUGUAUACUGAAGACUUUUAUGUAUUUUGCAUAGGUAUAGGACUGAGUGAAAUGCUUAGACAGUAUCUGAGAUGUUAGUUAUUUUUAGCUGUCCUAGUGUAGUUAUUUAGAAUUAAAACUUUCUUGUUGCUGUCACUGUGGUAAGUCUUUGUAGGAAGGCACGUAGUACCCUCAGCAGUGAGCUCCUCUCCUUCUGACCUGGUAGUGUAUCCCUGUGCAGUUUCCUGCAGGAUCUGUAAUGUAAUCCUAUAGUACAAGUAGUGCUUCCUUGUGUAAAUACAAACCUGACAACUUUUGGAUGAACCUCUAGAUGAUAUCAUACUAUCACUAUAACAUAGCUCCUGCUACCAGUCCCUUGCACAGGUUGCUGGUGGAAGGAGUUAUACUCCUGAAAUCUGCUACCUUAUCAGUUUAUGUUGUAUUUCCUUCUACCCUCUCCUGUACCUAACUCUAGUGCUUCCUUUUUCAGUUCUGCUAUCCUGCAGCUGUUCUGCAUCCCCUGUGAAGGCAGAGAGGGGCUGACAGUCACCAUGUUCUCCCAUUUGGUGGGCUGCAGUCAGGAAAAAGUGGAGCCUGCUCUACCUAAUGACCUACAAAACCCUCCCCUGUUCAUGACAAAAUCUAAACCUGUGCUUCAGUACUUCUGGUUGCAUGGCCAAGGAAGGUCCUCUUGGAGCUGUUCUUUUCCAUGUGUUGUGACUGCAUCACCAACAACUCCUCUCAAGGUUCCAGAACUACACUCCUACAGAAAUGAUGUCCCUUGAGUGCAAGUCAGCCUCCCCAGAACCCUUGGCAGCUCUGCAGAAGCAUCAGAUCUUGUUACGUUACUUUGGCAGUACAGAGGUCUCAAGCCCUUUCAGAAGGGCAAUGAGGGCCUACUGGAUACUAAAGGUGUCUAUCAUCAGAGGAAAGCAGAAGUGACUUUAUACCUAGAAUGUGCAGAGAUCAAACAAGAUGAGUGUUGCAGUAAAACAAUAAAGGCAUGUGUGUGCUUGUGUGUGAAUUCA